This 428-nucleotide ribosomal RNA is filed under the name uncultured bacterium. RNAcentral's name for it is "bacterial SSU rRNA". It matches the Rfam family "Bacterial small subunit ribosomal RNA", at positions 355 to 775 of the family's 1533-position model. The record is from RNAcentral.
UCGAGAAUCAUUCGCAAUGGGCGAAAGCCUGACGAUGCGACGCCGUGUGAACGAUGAAGGCCUUCGGGUCGUAAAGUUCUUUCGCCUGGGAACAAGAGAGUGCUGUGAAUAACAGUAUGAUUUGAGGGUACCAGGAGAAGAAGCACCGGCUAACUCCGUGCCAGCAGCUGCGGUAAUACGGAGGGUGCAAGCAUUAAUCGGAUUUAUUGGGCGUAAAGGGCGCGUAGGCGGGAAUGUAAGUCAGAUGUGAAAUCCCGGGGCUCAACCCCGGAACGGCAUUUGAAACUACAUUUCUAGAGGGUAGGCGGAGAAAAUGGAAUUCCACAAGUAGCGGUGAAAUGCGUAGAGAUGUGGAAGAACACCGGUGGCGAAGGCGAUUUUCUAGCUUAUUCCAGACGCUGAGGCGCGAAAGCAAGGGGAGCAAACAG